CGAGAGGCUGGCGCGGGCAGGCGCCUCGCCAACCCGGUCAGGUCCGGAAGGAAGCAGCCGCAACGAGCCCCGCCUGGGUCGCGUUCAGUCUCUCACCC
This 98-nucleotide signal recognition particle RNA is filed under the name Palleronia abyssalis. RNAcentral's name for it is "Bacterial small signal recognition particle RNA". It matches the Rfam family "Bacterial small signal recognition particle RNA". From Rfam's summary of the family: The signal recognition particle (SRP) is a universally conserved ribonucleoprotein involved in the co-translational targeting of proteins to membranes. Archaeal SRP consists of a 7S RNA and homologues of the eukaryotic SRP19 and SRP54 proteins. Lineage: Bacteria; Pseudomonadati; Pseudomonadota; Alphaproteobacteria; Rhodobacterales; Roseobacteraceae. The record is from Rfam by way of RNAcentral.